AGUGAACGCUGGCGGUAGGCCUAACACAUGCAAGUCGAACGGCAGCACAGUAAGAGCUUGCUCUUACGGGUGGCGAGUGGUGGACGGGUGAGGAAUACAUCGGAAUCUACUUUUUCGUGGGGGAUAACGUAGGGAAACUUACGCUAAUACCGCAUACGACCUACGGGUGAAAGCAGGGGAUCUUCGGACCUUGCGCGAUUGAAUGAGCCGAUGUCGGAUUAGCUAGUUGGCGGGGUAAAGGCCCACCAAGGCGACGAUCCGUAGCUGGUCUGAGAGGAUGAUCAGCCACACUGGAACUGAGACACGGUCCAGACUCCUACGGGAGGCAGCAGUGGGGAACAUUGGACAAUGGGCGCAAGCCUGAUCCAGCCAUACCGCGUGGGUGAAGAAGGCCUUCGGGUUGUAAAGCCCUUUUGUUGGGAAAGAAAAGCAGCAGGUUAAUACCCCGCUGUUCUGACGGUACCCAAAGAAUAAGCACCGGCUAACUUCGUG
RNAcentral lists this ribosomal RNA (492 nucleotides) under uncultured bacterium. Its description in RNAcentral is "partial 16S ribosomal RNA". It matches the Rfam family "Bacterial small subunit ribosomal RNA", at positions 29 to 507 of the family's 1533-position model. The record is from RNAcentral.